This 460-nucleotide ribosomal RNA is filed under the name uncultured bacterium. RNAcentral describes it as "partial 16S ribosomal RNA". It matches the Rfam family "Bacterial small subunit ribosomal RNA", at positions 338 to 795 of the family's 1533-position model. The record is from RNAcentral.
CCUACGGGUGGCAGCAGUGAGGAAUAUUGGGCAAUGGACGAGAGUCUUAACCAGCAAAGUAGCGUGAAUGAUGACUGCCCUCUGGUUUGUAAACUUCUUUUAUAUGGGAGUAAAAUGUUCCACGUGUGGGAUUUUGUAUGUACCAUAUGAAUAAGGAUCGGCUAACGCCGUGCCAGCAGCCGCGGUAAUACGGAGGAUCCGAGCGUUAUCCGGAUUUAUUGGGUUUAAAGGGAGGGUAGGUGGAUGGUUAAGUAAGUUGUGAAAGUGUGCGGCUCAACCGUAAUAUUGCAGUUGAAACUGGCAGUCUUGAGUACAGUAGAGGUGGGCGGAAUUCGUGGUGUAGCGGUGAAAUGCUUAGAUAUCACGAAGAACUCCGAUUGCGAAGGCAGCUCACUGGACUGCAACUGACACUGAGGCUCGAAAGUGUGGGUAUCAAACAGGAUUAGAUACCCGAGUAGUC